GACGAACGCUGGCGGCGUGCCUAAUACAUGCAAGUAGAACGCUGAAGAGAGGAGCUUGCUCUUCUUGGAUGAGUUGCGAACGGGUGAGUAACGCGUAGGUAACCUGCCUUGUAGCGGGGGAUAACUAUUGGAAACGAUAGCUAAUACCGCAUAACAAUGGAUGACACAUGUCAUUUAUUUGAAAGGGGCAAUUGCUCCACUACAAGAUGGACCUGCGUUGUAUUAGCUAGUAGGUGAGGUAAUGGCUCACCUAGGCGACGAUACAUAGCCGACCUGAGAGGGUGAUCGGCCACACUGGGACUGAGACACGGCCCAGACUCCUACGGGAGGCAGCAGUAGGGAAUCUUCGGCAAUAGGGGCAACCCUGACCGAGCAACGCCGCGUGAGUGAAGAAGGUUGUCGGAUCGUAAAGCUCUGUUGUAAGUCAAGAACGGGUGUGAGAGUGGAAAGUUCACACUGUGACGGUAGCUUAACAGAAAGGGACGGCUAACUACGUG
RNAcentral lists this ribosomal RNA (497 nucleotides) under uncultured bacterium. Its description in RNAcentral is "partial 16S ribosomal RNA". It matches the Rfam family "Bacterial small subunit ribosomal RNA", at positions 28 to 507 of the family's 1533-position model. The record is from RNAcentral.